Molecule: long non-coding RNA, 3830 nt
Organism: Nerophis ophidion (straightnose pipefish)
Lineage: Eukaryota; Metazoa; Chordata; Actinopteri; Syngnathiformes; Syngnathidae
Exons: 2
Source: RefSeq, a predicted model, not a curated record
AUAUAAACACCUAGAAGUCUUUAUAUCUGCUAAAACCACCAAUCUGUUUCACUGGAUUCAGAAUAAAACCACAUUAAUCUUUAUCUUCAUUUAUUUCAACUUCAUGUUAUUCAAAUAUGACAUUUUUAAAUGUAUUUAAUUUCUUUGACAAGCAAUUCUAUUAUAGUCAUACUCUUGUUCGCUAGCGGCUACAAUUUCAGUACUAUUGAAGAUCUAUGCUCCAACUCCGUGGUGAUCUUAUUUUUACAAAAUACAACUAAUAGUACGUUAAUGUUAAAUCUCACAUGUGAAAAGUAAUCCCCUGAUUCCUAUUUUCAACAGUGUGCUCAUUUGAGCGCUGUCCUGUCUGUCAACUGUCAGUUUGGACAUCUCGCUGGCUCCUCAUCACCACUUCAAGAUGGCGGGUGGAUUUCUCGUGUCAUAGCAGCCAAUGCUGCGUCAACUUCUAUAUCUAUGAUGGAAACAGUAUACAAAACCCAUUAUUUUUUGGUCUAAACUAGUGCUGUCAAAAACUGUGGAAUGCCGGAGCCUUCAUUUUGGCCCGCGAGACGUCAUUAGUUAAUAAGAAAUGUGGCCCAUGGGGUGUUCACAAAUCAUUUUGAACAUCGGAUAAUUUGAUCGCUGCUAACUUGCCAUCAUCUUGUGGACAGCGUCAGUAAUUUAGGUCAAUGACCAUGAAUUGUGGUUCCAAGUGUGUAGCACAGCAUAUACUUAUAUGACUCAAUCCAAACAACUUAUCGUACUCAUGGCGCCAAAAAACUUUCCACACUUAUCCGUGUUUGGCGCAUUUAAGCUGAUGGAUAUUUUUGAUUGUUUGCCAAACUUUGGAGGUCGUCACGGAAGUAAACAAGUUGUGAGUCAAAUGUUCACAUACUCUCAAUAUCCAAUCAUAGUAUUUAGUUUAUAUCAUUAUAUCAAUACACAGUAAAUAUGUACACAUAUAUACUUAAUGCUUAGGCUAUUGUUACUUUACAUGCAGUCCGUUUUUAGUCCAACACUGAACCCGAGUCAAAAAGUUUGGACAGAGUGUGCAUAAAUGAUCAAAAUUUGCACAAAUGUUAGCAUGAAAUGUUAGCAUGAUAACAUAAGAAAAGUAAGCCUACUUCUAAGAUGGCGACAAAUAUGAGAAUCCAUGAUUUGUAGGUUCAAAUGAAUAUUUUCUAAAAUACUAGCAUUAAAUGUUGGCAUGGUCACGUUAGAAUAAUAACAGCAAAACUUAAGUACUUCUAAGGCGUCACCAAGUAUCAAAAUCCAUGAUUAAGUUCAAAUUAAUAACAUUUGCCAAAAUACUUGCUUAAAUGUUUGCAUGCUAAUGUUAGCAUGAUAACAUAGGAAAAGUUAGCAUAGUUCAAGAUAGCACCGAGUAUCAUAAUCAAUGAUCUUUAGUAGAGAUGUCCAAUAAUGGCUUUUUUGCCCAUAUCUGAUAUUCCGAUAUUGUCCAACUCUUAAUUACAAAUACCGAUCUAUAGAGUGGUGGAUUUAACACAUUAUUAUGCCUCAUUUUGUUGUGAUGCCCUGAUGGAUGCAUUAAAGGUUUUCCAAAAUAAGAGAACAACUUCAACUCAAGUUAUGUAAAAAAAUGCCAACAUGGCACUGCCAUAUUUAUUAUUGAAGUCACAAAGUGCAAUAUUUUUUUAACAUGCCUCAAAACAGCAGCUUGGAAUUUGGGACAUGCUCUCCCUCAGAUAAUCUUGAUACCCACUACAACUAUGGGAAAUACUAUACUUUGACUUUCACUAAGUCUAAGUCUGCAUUAUUCUUUAUAUUUUUUAAACGUGCCUCAAAACAACAGCUACAAAAACAAAGAAGGCACACAGCUUCAGUCCAGACUGUACUAGAGUAAUAAAGUAAACAAUAACAUAAUCCUCUAGUGCAAGACUGCCUGGCAUACUGUAUAACAGGAAAUUAUAAACUGGGCUCAAUCUGCCCUGCUCCAAGGUCUUUGUAUGAGUCACACAAAUGUGCUGCAAGCUGGUGGUGAGUGCUUGAAGUGGCCUACUAGUCAGUCAGAGCUUCUGAAAUGCUGCGUUGAGACAGCACACCUCCGUUCACUGCAAGCUGCAAUGUGUGUGCCAUGCAGGGCAGACUAGCCACACCAAACUCUACCGUCGUGUGUCGUCCCUGACCACAACUUGAGCUUUGGCCUUGGGUUUUUUUUGUUGUAUUUUUGUUUUUUCUCUGGCGGAGUCUUUAAGCGACAACUGUGUGGUACUACUUUUUUUCGCUGUUUGCUUUUCAUCCAUUUUCCGCUUUUAUUCCUCCUGUAUCUCCUUAUGAUUCUUGAAGAGGUGGUAGAUCAAAUUGCUUGUGUUAAAGGAAGAGGUCUUUGUUCCUCCUCGCUUAACCAACUUACUGCAGUCAUUAUAAAUUGCCAGUUUUUUAUCCGUCAGACACUUUAAAAUAAUCCCAAACCAUUAGACAUUGUGUCAGUCAGUCAUCGAGCGAGCUUGCUUGUUAGCCACGGCUACAGCACCGGCAACAAUACACUCUUGUUAUGUUGCGCUCGCGGCGGUUUGCUGAGGUUAUCGUGCUGCAACUCCUGUGUUGUGUGUGUGGAGAGGGAAGGGCCUGCUGACUUGGUUUAUAUUCGUGUUUUACCAAAUAUGUACCGCUCAGUACAACAGCGUUUUAAAAAGUCAUUCCUUUUUAAUUCUUGAAACGAAUACCGAAAAUUUCCGAUAUCACAUUUUAAAGCAAUUAUCAGCCGAUAUCGGCAGUCUGAUAUCGGACAUCUGUAAUUUUUAGGUUUAAAUGAAUAGACCUAGAUACAAUUUGAGCAUAAAUUAACAUACUAACGUUAACAUGCUAACACAUUAGAUGUUGGCAACAACUAAUAUGGCACACAGUUUCAAAAGCCAAGUUUUUAGGUUUGAAUCCAAUACAUUUUGAUAAAAAGUGAACAUAAAAUGUUGGCAUUUUAUAAUGAAAACAGUUAGCAUACAUGCUACUGUUUACAGUAUGUAAAUGGUCGCAUGCUUUGCAGCAGGCCUAUAAUAAUAAUAAUAAUAAUCUCAAAACAAUAGAAAAGUAUGUACAUAAGUUGGAGAAAUAUAAACAUUAUACUUUAUGCUCACCUCUGUUUGACUUCUGCGACUGCAGCAUGUUGACAUUUUUUACUGUGAAAAGCCAAGAAACAGAUUUGCAGUGUCAGUAUAAUUGACAACAACAAGAAUACAUUAGCGUUGAGGAUAAACACCUGCAGUGCUGAUGUUGGUAAAGUGUGCCUGGUAAGAAGUCUGCAGGUGGUCCUUCAUGUCGGAGAUGGCUCUCCUCACGCUGCCAAAAGACGCGUGUGGAUUGAGUGUCAGAGAAGGUUCUUCUGCCGCUGGACUGCAAAACGUAUUCUGCACACAAAAGUCGAUCAGAACCCUGCAAACAACUUUGGAAGAUGCCAUUACUGAUCCAGAAGAGGUGAAAGCGCGGCGUCUCGCUCUUUCAGCUGGCAGAUUUGUCCUUCCAGGUGAUGCAGCAAGUUCUCACAGCGAGUCGACUCCGCCUUCUCCUGAGCCCUGAUGAGCGCCUUCACUUCCACGCGACGACGCUCCAGAAACGUUUGCAGCUCCGCAAAGAUCCUGCUGGCAUCCUUGACUGCUUCCUUGGCGCGGUGCUUAAAAAUAUGGUACAUGAUGUUUGUUAUUAUCAGUACAAGUCCAAAAUGGACAGAUGGGAACGUGUGCUUUUUAUUACUUACAGAGAAAGACUUCAAGUUUUGUUUCAGCUGCUGAACUUCACCUUCUUUCUCCAUAAUUUGCUCGCCAAUAUUUCUACGCAUUUCUUCAAAAUGUUUCUACGGCAACAAGAAAUAAAAGACUACUUUUUACUACCACAUA